Meleagris gallopavo (turkey) is the source of this 2068-nucleotide non-coding RNA. Lineage: Eukaryota; Metazoa; Chordata; Aves; Galliformes; Phasianidae. The record is from RefSeq and is a predicted model, not a curated record.
UCCUAGACCUUAUUUAAGGGCUGACUGCCACUGGGGAGGGAUUUCUGGUUGGAGAUCCCUCCUUUGUGGAGUCCUUUCUGCAAACCUAGAUCUUUGGAGACAGAUUUAUUUCCCUCCUGCAAAGAGUUUCUUUAAGAAGACCCUUAGCCUUGAAAUAGAACUAGAGUCCGAGUAAGGAUUUCUGAAUUGUUCUGUUGUAUGAGAAGGUCUGUGUGAUGUCAGCGUAUAUCAACACCAGAUACUUGCCAGCCUGCUCAAUCUGACUGCUUUUUGUACAUCAGAAACAAGUAACUGUUUCACUACACAAUAAAAUCCACUACUUCCACAGCAGAAAUUUUUUAUGAGUAGGUCAUCUCUGAAGAUAAAGCAAAAACAUCUAUGGUAUGUACUUAGCCUUACACUUGCUCCGUGUGUUUGCCCGCCUGGGGACCUUUCUUUGUGAAUGGCUUUGAGGGAGUGAAGUGCUAUGUAUCGUUUGAGAGAAAACGAUGAACAACAGGGAAUCCUGAGUAUGGACCUAACUUAUGCUUAAUUCUAAGGAGAUGAACACAACCAUGUCUUUCACCUGGGUUUUCAAGAGACCAUAAUUGUUGCCAUAUGUUUGAGAGAGAGACUAAAUGACAGUUUGAAGACAUUCUCUGUGUCUAAGGGAGAGAUCCUCAGUUUUGCCUUCUGCUGUCAUCAGAUAAUUCUCCUUUCUGUUCUGGUGUGAGUUUUUUAAGCCUAGUGUAUUUUUUUUUUUUUUUACCCUUGUUGCUGAAUGUCAUAUGAACACGUAUUUGAGUAGCUGUAUUCAAAGUUGGAAAGAACUUCUGUCUCUUUUUGAUGACAUAAAACUAAUCCAUGUUCUUGGAAAGAGCACACACUGAACAUGGUCUGCAUGCAUGAUGUUCCUUUAUUGCCAAUUGCCUGCUGUUGUAGGACAUGACAGGUAUCCCUACUGCUUUGCUGAACAAAUUGGAGGACAGGCUGCUUGUCAGAACCUUUCAGAAGUGGGUGAAGUUCAACUUCUGGUUGAUACUCAGUGGUGCAGUUUGAACUCAUAAAAAGCUGGGGUGAAAGAGAAGAACUUGGAAGAGAAGGCUCUUGCAUGAACACAAAUAAUCUUCAUAAAUAAUUGCUGCUGCUUUCUCGAUGUCUUUUUGGCCAUAAUUUGAAUUUAUGAUUUUACACUGCCCACCUGAGAAAGACUGAUUAUAGUGCCUUCUAUUUAGUAAAAUUCAUUCAGAUGUGUCCUACUCUCUGAAUUGGAGAAGAUUUCAAAUGAGACUGUGGUCUCCUCAUCCUGAAUGAUACAGGAAUUCACUUGAAUAUUUAUUUAAUUAGGCUGAAGGAUGUUGAGAAUAAAUACAUGAUUAUAUAAAAUAUGGAUUUUAAUGCACUAUAAAUAGGAGAAAAAUUAAUUUCUAGGAUAUUUAAGUUAAAGGCUACCACAGUAAGAUUGAUAGAAGUAGAAAGAGAAAUCAGUCUGCUAGAUUAAAUAAUGGACUCUAACUGCUUGACUUAUGUCAGCUUUAAUGUCAUAGCAGGUGCUUUGAUAAUGCAAAAUAUUUCCACAGCUCUUCAUUCAACAGAGCACAUGAGGUGAAGUAAGAACAAAUGUGCUGCUGUUAAUUACCAAUCCCUGCUGGGGAAGGAGAGUGCAAGGGGAAAACUUGCACAUGUAUCUUGAUAGGACCCAAGACAUUUCCUGCUUAGUAAUGUUUUAUUUAGGCCUGUAGAUAAUAAGAGUUUUUUGUUUGGUGGUGGUGAUUGUUUUUUCCAGUAUUGGCAAAUGCAAAAUAAUACAAUGUUAGAUGCUUGGGGAAGAUAUUUAGUCAUGCAAUAAGUAAUUUCUCAAGAGAAAACAAUUAGAUUCCUCAGGAAUUUAACCCUGUGUUUAACAACAUAGAUAUGAUAAAUGAUAGAACUGUAAGCUGCUUCCACUAGUUUGGCAAUAGCACGGCUCAAUGUGUAACUCAGUCUACAGUACUAUCUUGUAGUUCUUCCCAGCAUAUCAAAUAAUGUGUAAAGAACCCAAAGAACUAACCGAAAAUAAUAAACUUCGUUGCUGUUCUCUGCCAUUGUU